UACAGAGGGGGCAAGCGUUGUUCGGAAUCACUGGGCGUAAAGCGCACGUAGGCGGAUCUUUAAGUCAGGGGUGAAAUCCUGGAGCUCAACUCCAGAACUGCCUUUGAUACUGGGGAUCUCGAGUCCGGAAGAGGUGAGUGGAACUCCGAGUGUAGAGGUGAAAUUCGUAGAUAUUCGCAAGAACACCAGUGGCGAAGGCGGCUCACUGGCCCGAUACUGACGCUGAGGCACGAAAGCGUGGGGAGCAAACAGG
This 253-nucleotide ribosomal RNA is filed under the name uncultured bacterium. Its description in RNAcentral is "partial 16S ribosomal RNA". It matches the Rfam family "Bacterial small subunit ribosomal RNA", at positions 524 to 776 of the family's 1533-position model. The record is from RNAcentral.